RNAcentral lists this transfer RNA (70 nucleotides) under Dipodomys ordii (Ord's kangaroo rat). It matches the Rfam family "tRNA". From Rfam's summary of the family: Transfer RNA (tRNA) molecules are approximately 80 nucleotides in length. Their secondary structure includes four short double-helical elements and three loops (D, anti-codon, and T loops). Lineage: Eukaryota; Metazoa; Chordata; Mammalia; Rodentia; Heteromyidae. The record is from Rfam by way of RNAcentral.
GGGAAUGUGUCUUAGUGGUAGAGUGCUUGCCUUGCAUGCAUGAAGCCCUGGGUUCAAUUCCUCAGUACCA